This 450-nucleotide ribosomal RNA is filed under the name uncultured bacterium. RNAcentral's name for it is "partial 16S ribosomal RNA". It matches the Rfam family "Bacterial small subunit ribosomal RNA", at positions 338 to 795 of the family's 1533-position model. The record is from RNAcentral.
CCUACGGGGGGCAGCAGUGGGGAAUAUUGGACAAUGGGCGCAAGCCUGAUCCAGCAAUGCCGCGUGUGUGAAGAAGGCCUGCGGGUUGUAAAGCACUUUGAGUGGGGAAGAAGGCCUGGGGGUUAAUAGCUUCUGGGAUUGACGUUACCCACAGAACAAGCACCGGCUAACUCCGUGCCAGCAGCCGCGGUAAUACGGAGGGUGCGUGCGUUAAGUGGAAUUACUGGGCGCGAUUCGCGCGUACUGGGUUGAAAGCCCUGGGCUUAACCUGGGAACUGCAUUGGAUACUGUUUGACUGGAGUGUGGUAGAGGGGUGUGGAAUUUCCGGUGUAGCAGUGAAAUGCGUAGAGAUCGGAAGGAACACCAGUGGCGAAGGCGGCACCCUGGACCGACACUGACGCUGAGGUGCGAAAGCGUGGGGAGCAAACAGGAUUAGAUACCCCUGUAGUC